ACGCUUCUUUUUCCACCGGAGCUUGCUCCACCGGAAAAAGAAGAGUGGCGAACGGGUGAGUAACACGUGGGUAACCUGCCCAUCAGAAGGGGAUAACACUUGGAAACAGGUGCUAAUACCGUAUAACAAUCGAAACCGCAUGGUUUUGAUUUGAAAGGCGCUUUCGGGUGUCGCUGAUGGAUGGACCCGCGGUGCAUUAGCUAGUUGGUGAGGUAACGGCUCACCAAGGCCACGAUGCAUAGCCGACCUGAGAGGGUGAUCGGCCACAUUGGGACUGAGACACGGCCCAAACUCCUACGGGAGGCAGCAGUAGGGAAUCUUCGGCAAUGGACGAAAGUCUGACCGAGCAACGCCGCGUGAGUGAAGAAGGUUUUCGGAUCGUA
This 383-nucleotide ribosomal RNA is filed under the name Enterococcus faecium. RNAcentral describes it as "bacterial SSU rRNA". It matches the Rfam family "Bacterial small subunit ribosomal RNA", at positions 66 to 427 of the family's 1533-position model. The record is from RNAcentral. Lineage: Bacteria; Bacillati; Bacillota; Bacilli; Lactobacillales; Enterococcaceae.